ACGGAGGAUCCAAGCGUUAUCCGGAAUCAUUGGGUUUAAAGGGUCCGUAGGCGGCCCUGUAAGUCAGUGGUGAAAUCUCCCGGCUCAACCGGGAAAUUGCCAUUGAUACUGCAGGGCUUGAAUUACUGGGAAGUAACUAGAAUAUGUAGUGUAGCGGUGAAAUGCUUAGAGAUUACAUGGAAUACCAAUUGCGAAGGCAGGUUACUACCAGUGGAUUGACGCUGAUGGACGAAAGCGUGGGUAGCGAACAGGA
Molecule: ribosomal RNA, 253 nt
Filed under: uncultured prokaryote
Description: partial 16S ribosomal RNA
Rfam family: Bacterial small subunit ribosomal RNA
Source: RNAcentral